CGAGCACGCGCGUGUGGCAUAUCAAUAAGCGGAGGAAAAGAAACUAACAAGGAUUCCCUUAGUAACGGCGAGUGAAGCGGGAAGAGCUCAAAUUUGAAAUCUUCAAGGUUCUACCUUGACGAAUUGUAGUUUAUAGAAGUGUUUUCUGUUAGUGGAGUGGCAAAAGUUCUUUGGAAUAGGACAUCAUAGAGGGUGAGAAUCCCGUAUUUGGUCAUUCCUCCUAGCGUUGUGAUACACUUUCAACGAGUCGGAUUGUUUGGGAAUGCAGUCCAAAAUGGGUGGUAAAUUUCAUCUAAAGCUAAAUAUUGGCGAGAGACCGAUAGCGAACAAGUACCGUGAGGGAAAGAUGAAAAGAACUUUGAAAAGAGAGUUAAACAGUACGUGAAAUUGUCAAAAGGGAAGCGUUUGACACCAGUGUUGUUUUUCCGAAAAUCAAUUACGAAUGUUUUGUUUUUAAGGAGUUAUGACUUCAUCGGCUUGCUUCUUUCUUUACGAAACUUUCUUAAUGCACUUUUCGGUUAACAAGUCAACAUCAAUUUCUUUUGUUGUAAAAGGGUAUGAGGAAGGUGGCUUUCUUUUCGGAGAAAGUGUUUAUAGCCUUGUGCCUCUGCAAUCGGAGAGAUUGAGGUCUGCAGCGUAGAUCCUUCGGGGUUAGAUACGUUUGUGCUAAGUUAUAGCUUUUCAUAGACAACUUGUUGACUAUGUUUAGUCUUGUAGCUUACUCGCUGAUGCUAUUUUACCUACGCUUAGGAUGUUGAUGUGAUACUGCGAGC
This 773-nucleotide ribosomal RNA is filed under the name uncultured Neocallimastigales. RNAcentral describes it as "partial large subunit ribosomal RNA". It matches the Rfam family "Eukaryotic large subunit ribosomal RNA", at positions 19 to 645 of the family's 3401-position model. The record is from RNAcentral. Lineage: Eukaryota; Fungi; Neocallimastigomycota; Neocallimastigomycetes; Neocallimastigales.